AUUGAACGCUGGCGGCAGGCUUAACACAUGCAAGUCGAGCGGGGUGAUGGUGCUUGCACUAUCACUUAGCGGCGGACGGGUGAGUAAUGCUUAGGAAUCUGCCUAUUAGUGGAGGACGACAUCUCGAAGGGGAUGCUAAUACCACAUACGUCCUACGGGAGAAAGCAGGGGAUCACUGGUGACCCUGCGCUAAUAGAUGAGCCGAAGUCGGAGUAGCUAGUUGGUGGGGUAAAGGACUACCAAGGAGACGAACUGGAGCGGGUCUGAGAGGAUGAUCCGCCACACUGGGACUGAGACACGGCCCAGCCUCCUACGGGAGGCAGCAGUGGGGAAUAUUGGACAAUGGGGGGAACACUGAUCCAGCCAUGCCGAGUGUGUGAAGAAGGACUUAUGGUUGUAAAGCACCUUAAGCGAGGAGGAGGCUCUUUUGGUUAAUACCCAAGAUGAGUGGACGUUACUCGCAGAAUAAGCACCGGCUAACUCUGUGCCAGCCGCCGCAGUAA
RNAcentral lists this ribosomal RNA (503 nucleotides) under uncultured bacterium. Its description in RNAcentral is "partial 16S ribosomal RNA". It matches the Rfam family "Bacterial small subunit ribosomal RNA", at positions 30 to 523 of the family's 1533-position model. The record is from RNAcentral.